Molecule: long non-coding RNA, 192 nt
Organism: Thalassophryne amazonica
Lineage: Eukaryota; Metazoa; Chordata; Actinopteri; Batrachoidiformes; Batrachoididae
Exons: 2
Source: RefSeq, a predicted model, not a curated record
UUGUGUAAAGGUUAGGUUGGGUUAGAAUAAAUUUAGGUUAGGUCAAAGUUAAGUCAAGUUCAUAGUUAUGUAGGUUUGCUUUCAGUUAAGGUCAGUGUUAGGAUUAUGCCAGGGUUAGGGUCAGAUAAAGGUUAGGGUUAGGUUAAAUUUAGGUUAUGUUUAGGGUAAAGUUAAGGUUUGUUCGUACAGGAU